UUCAUAUGUUUAGUCGGAAUCUCCUUUCCUGCAACUUGAAGCCAUUGGUUAGGGUCCUACCCUCCAGAGCAGGAGAAAACAAGCUUGCUCCAUCCUCCAUGUGGCAGCCCAUCAGAUAUUUGAAGAUGGCUAUCAUAUCUCCCCUCAGUCUCCUCUUUUCCAGGCUAAACAUACCCAUCUCCUUCAACC
This is a non-coding RNA of Podarcis lilfordi (Lilford's wall lizard), 189 nucleotides long. Lineage: Eukaryota; Metazoa; Chordata; Lepidosauria; Squamata; Lacertidae. The record is from the annotation of a GenBank genome assembly.